GACGAACGCUGGCGGCGUGCUUAACACAUGCAAGUCGAACGGUAAGGCCCUUCGGGGUACACGAGUGGCGAACGGGUGAGUAACACGUGGGUGAUCUGCCCUGCACUUCGGGAUAAGCCUGGGCAACUGGGUCCAAUACCGGAUAGGACCACUGCCUGCAUGGGUGGUGGUGGAAAGCUUUUGCGGUGUGGGAUGGGCCCGCGGCCUAUCAGCUGGUUGGUGGGGUGAUGGCCUACCAAGGCGACGACGGGUAGCCGUCCUGCGGGGGUGACCGGCCACACUGGGCCGGAGAUGCGGCCAAGACUCCUACGGGAGGCAGCAGCGGGGAAUGUUGGACAAUGGGCGCAAGCCUGAUGCAGCGACGCCGCGUGAGGGAUGGCGGCCUUCGGGUUGUAAACCUGUUUCAGCACCGACGAAGCGCAAGUGACGGUAGGUGCAGAAGAAGGACCGGCCAACUACGUGCCAGCGGCCGCAGUAA
RNAcentral lists this ribosomal RNA (478 nucleotides) under uncultured bacterium. RNAcentral's name for it is "partial 16S ribosomal RNA". It matches the Rfam family "Bacterial small subunit ribosomal RNA", at positions 28 to 523 of the family's 1533-position model. The record is from RNAcentral.